ACGCACGCUGGCGGCGUGCUUCACACAUGCAAGUCGAACGGAAAGGCCCUGCUUUUGUGGGGUGCUCGAGUGGCGAACGGGUGAGUAACACGUGAGUAACCUGCCCUUGACUUUGGGAUAACUUCAGGGAACUGGGGCUAAUACCGGAUAGGAGCUCCUGCUGCAUGGUGGGGGUUGGAAAGUUUCGGCGGUUGGGGAUGGACUCGCGGCUUAUCAGCUUGUUGGUGGGGUAGUGGCUUACCAAGGCUUUGACGGGUAGCCGGCCUGAGAGGGUGACCGGCCACAUUGGGACUGAGAUACGGCCCAGACUCCUACGGGAGGCAGCAGUGGGGAAUAUUGCACAAUGGGCGGAAGCCUGAUGCAGCAACGCCGCGUGCGGGAUGACGGCCUUCGGGUUGUAAACCGCUUUCGCCUGUGACGAAGCGUGAGUGACGGUAAUGGGUAAAGAAGCACCGGCUAACUACGUG
Molecule: ribosomal RNA, 467 nt
Filed under: uncultured bacterium
Lineage: Bacteria
Description: partial 16S ribosomal RNA
Rfam family: Bacterial small subunit ribosomal RNA
Source: RNAcentral